UACAGAGGUCCCAAGCGUUGUUCGGAUUCACUGGCGUAAAGGGUGCGUAGGUGGUGAGGUAAGUUUGAUGUGAAAUCUCCGGGCUCAACCCGGAAAUGGCAUUGAAUACUAUCUUGCUAGAGGAGUGGAGGGGGACUGGAAGUACUUGGUGUAGCAGUGAAAUGCGUAGAUAUCAAGUGGAACACCAGUGGCGAAGGCGAGUCCCUGGACACUCCUGACACUGAGGCACGAAAGCUAGGGGAGCAAACAGG
Molecule: ribosomal RNA, 251 nt
Filed under: uncultured bacterium
Lineage: Bacteria
Description: partial 16S ribosomal RNA
Rfam family: Bacterial small subunit ribosomal RNA
Source: RNAcentral